CCUACGGGCGGCUGCAGUGGGGAAUAUUGGACAAUGGGGGGAACCCUGAUCCAGCCAUGCCGCGUGUGUGAAGAAGGCACUCGGGUUGUAAAGCACUUUCAGUGAGGAAGAACGCCUGGUGGUUAAUACCCAUCAGGAAAGACAUCACUCACAGAAGAAGCACCGGCUAACUCCGUGCCAGCAGCCGCGGUAAUACGGAGGGUGCGAGCGUUAAUCGGAAUUACUGGGCGUAAAGCGCGCGUAGGUGGCUUGAUAAGCCGGUUGUGAAAGCCCCGGGCUCAACCUGGGAACGGCAUCCGGAACUGUCAAGCUAGAGUGCAGGAGAGGAAGGUAGAAUUCCCGGUGUAGCGGUGAAAUGCGUAGAGAUCGGGAGGAAUACCAGUGGCGAAGGCGGCCUUCUGGACUGACACUGACACUGAGGUGCGAAAGCGUGGGUAGCAAACAGGAUUAGAUACCCGAGUAGUC
RNAcentral lists this ribosomal RNA (465 nucleotides) under Vreelandella stevensii. Its description in RNAcentral is "partial 16S ribosomal RNA". It matches the Rfam family "Bacterial small subunit ribosomal RNA", at positions 338 to 795 of the family's 1533-position model. Lineage: Bacteria; Pseudomonadati; Pseudomonadota; Gammaproteobacteria; Oceanospirillales; Halomonadaceae. The record is from RNAcentral.